RNAcentral lists this ribosomal RNA (253 nucleotides) under uncultured bacterium. RNAcentral's name for it is "partial 16S ribosomal RNA". It matches the Rfam family "Bacterial small subunit ribosomal RNA", at positions 524 to 776 of the family's 1533-position model. The record is from RNAcentral.
UACAGAGGGGGCAAGCGUUGUUCGGAAUUACUGGGCGUAAAGGGCGCGUAGGCGGCCUGCUAAGUCGAACGUGAAAUCCCUGGGCUCAACCCAGGAACUGCGUCCGAUACUGGUUGGCUUGAAUCCGGGAGAGGGAUGUGGAAUUCCAGGUGUAGCGGUGAAAUGCGUAGAUAUCUGGAGGAACACCAAUUGCGAAGGCAGCUCGCUGGGACGUGACUGACGCUGAGACGCGAAAGCGUGGGGAGCAAACAGG